RNAcentral lists this ribosomal RNA (327 nucleotides) under uncultured eukaryote. RNAcentral's name for it is "partial 18S ribosomal RNA". It matches the Rfam family "Eukaryotic small subunit ribosomal RNA", at positions 1470 to 1796 of the family's 1831-position model. The record is from RNAcentral.
CCCUUAGAUGUUCUGGGCCGCACGCGCGCUACACUGAUGAAUGCAACGAGCUCUACCCUUGACCGAAAGGCCCGGGUAAACUUGUGAAACUUCAUCGUGAUGGGGAUAGAUUAUUGCAAUUAUUAAUCUUCAACGAGGAAUUCCUAGUAAGCGCGAGUCAUCAGCUCGCGUUGAUUACGUCCCUGCCCUUUGUACACACCGCCCGUCGCUCCUACCGAUUGAAUGGUCCGGUGAAAUCUUCGGAUUGCUGAUCAAAUUCCAGCAAUGGAGCUUGAUUGUGAGAAGUUGAUUAAACCUUAUUAUUUAGAGGAAGGAGAAGUCGUAACA